This 253-nucleotide ribosomal RNA is filed under the name uncultured bacterium. RNAcentral's name for it is "partial 16S ribosomal RNA". It matches the Rfam family "Bacterial small subunit ribosomal RNA", at positions 524 to 776 of the family's 1533-position model. The record is from RNAcentral.
UACGUAGGGUGCAAGCGUUAAUCGGAAUUACUGGGCGUAAAGCGUGCGCAGGCGGUUUUGUAAGACUGUCGUGAAAUCCCCGGGCUCAACCCUGGGAAUGGCGAUGGUGACUGCAAGGCUAGAGUUUGGCAGAGGGGGUAGAAUUCCACGUGUAGCAGUGAAAUGCGUAGAUAUGUGGAGGAACACCGAUGGCGAAGGCAGCCCCCUGGGUCAAAACUGACGCUCAUGCACGAAAGCGUGGGGAGCAAACAGG